This 526-nucleotide long non-coding RNA is filed under the name Piliocolobus tephrosceles (Ugandan red Colobus). RNAcentral describes it as "lncRNA (ENSPTEG00000024370.1)". Lineage: Eukaryota; Metazoa; Chordata; Mammalia; Primates; Cercopithecidae. The record is from RNAcentral.
AGCAGCAGUGUCUCACCUUCAGGCGUUUGGACUCGGUGGAGGUUGUGAGUGCCCAGCAGUGUGGGCUGAAUCUCCGUGGGGUUUAGGGAGACGAAAGGACCCCAGAUCGACGUCCCCUCGUUCCCACUUUGGGGAUCGGCGCUCUGGCUGGUGAAAGAGAGAGAGGAACUCAGAGUGGUUUUCCAGAUGGGAAUCACAUUGCUCUCUGUCCCUGAGAUCUUGCUGGAGACAGGGCUACUCAGUCCUCUUUGCUGGGUCAUCUGUUCCAGAGGAAACAUGUGUCGUUCUGACUGAGCCCCUGCCUGUCUGUCACCUUAAGAACCAGUCAAUUCAUAUGGUCCACAUAUCAAGGUCUCCUGUGCCCAGAGAGAGAGAGGAUUUCAUUUCAACCAUCACCAUCACCACCAUCAUCAUCAUCACCGGGAGGGGUUGUUGAGUGAGCAUCCGGGGAGGAGAGUAAAAUGAUCAGUUCCAAAGCCCUGGUGGCCAGUCAUCUACAUAAGAAGUCACUGGGCAUAGGCAGUGU